CCUACGGGGGGCAGCAGUGGGGAAUAUUGCACAAUGGGCGCAAGCCUGAUGCAGCGACGCCGCGUGAGCGAUGACGGCCUUCGGGUCGUAAAGCUCUGUCCUAAGGGAAGAAUAAUGACGGUACCUUAGGAGGAAGCCCCGGCUAACUACGUGCCAGCAGCCGCGGUAAUACGUCGGGGGCGCGUGUUAUCCGGAAUCACUGGGCGUAAAGGCUGCGUAGGCGGCCCUGUAAGUCAGGAGUUAAAUCCCUCGGCUCAACCGAGGUCGGCACUUGAAACUGUAGGGCUUGAGGGCAGGAGAGGAGAGGGGAAUGCCUAGUGUAGCGGGGAAAGGCGUAGAUAUUAGGCGGAACAGCAGUGGCGAAGGCGGCUCUCGGGACUGCAACUGACGCUGAGGCACGAAAGCGUGGGGAGCGAACAGGAUUAGAUACCCGAGUAGUC
This 440-nucleotide ribosomal RNA is filed under the name uncultured bacterium. RNAcentral's name for it is "bacterial SSU rRNA". It matches the Rfam family "Bacterial small subunit ribosomal RNA", at positions 338 to 795 of the family's 1533-position model. The record is from RNAcentral.